UACGUAGGCAGCAAGCGUUGUUCGGAAUUACUGGGCGUAAAGGGCGCGUAGGCGGCCUUCUAAGUCGAACGUGAAAUCCCCGGGCUCAACCCGGGAACUGCGUCCGAUACUGGAAGGCUUGAAUCCGGGAGAGGGAUGCGGAAUUCCAGGUGUAGCGGUGAAAUGCGUAGAUAUCGGAAGGAACAUCAGUGGCGAAAGCGACUUCCUGGACCAGUACCGACGUUCAGGCACGAAAGCGUGGGGAGCAAACAGG
RNAcentral lists this ribosomal RNA (253 nucleotides) under uncultured bacterium. RNAcentral's name for it is "partial 16S ribosomal RNA". It matches the Rfam family "Bacterial small subunit ribosomal RNA", at positions 524 to 776 of the family's 1533-position model. The record is from RNAcentral.